This is a long non-coding RNA of Columba livia (rock pigeon), 30528 nucleotides long. RefSeq lists it as uncharacterized. Lineage: Eukaryota; Metazoa; Chordata; Aves; Columbiformes; Columbidae. The transcript has 5 exons. The record is from RefSeq and is a predicted model, not a curated record.
GGGGCAACGGGCACAGACUGGAACACAGGAGGCUCCAUGUGAACAUGAGCAGAAACUUGUUUGCUGGGAGGUGCCAGAGCCUGGCCCAGGCUGCCCAGAGCGGGUGUGGAGUCUCCUGCUCUGAGACAUUCAAACCGCCUGGACCCACCUGUGUGAUCUGCUCUGUGACCCUGCGUGAGCAGCGCUGGGCUGGGGGAUCUGCAGAGGUCCUGCAACCCAACCAGGAUGGGAUUCUGUGAUUCCUGUAGGGAACAGGUUGCACUCGUAAAUCAAAUCCAAUAUUUUCAGAUGACUUAGUACAGUCUUUUGUGCUGCUUGAUAAAUAGCACACGGAGCCUUAUGGAGCCUUGACAUCUGGCUGUUUGGGCACUAAUUAAAGUACCUGGUCAGCAUUUUAACUGGAAGGCAAUAAGGAGAGGUGCACAAGAGUGGAUAAACAUUUGUUCUGUAUGAACUCCAGGAAAGAUGUGAAAACCUUGGGCAUCCUUCGACUGUAAGCAAUCUUUGCUAAAUCUCAAGGAUAAGCGUGUGAAGGUGAAUAAGUCUCUGUUGCUAAAGCUCAAAACACAUCGUCAUUGGUGUCAAAACAUGCUGUUUCACAGGUCUGGAAGAAGCAGAGCUAAGCGCAGCCCAUCAGGCAGAGUGUGCGGCUGAGCUCCACGGAGGGAUUUUGUUUGCAGUCACAGAAUUGCCUGUGAGAUGUUGCUUGAUCAGAAGAGAAAUAUUUAAUACAGUCUGUCUCCUGUAACAGUCAUGUAGAGAAAACAAGUCUCCAAAUUGGAUUUGUGUGAUCAAUGGGCAGGAAAGUCCACUUCAUCUAUCUCAGCUGAGCUCACUUAUAAAACUAGGGUUUGUUGACAGCAAGGUGUCCGUGUUCUGGCAGGACUGACUCUCUCCUGUCUGGGGACACGAGUUGUUCUGGAACCAUGCACCGAUCAUCUCCAAAUUUGCGCCACAAUCUAUACCUUCUUGUACGUCAAUAGAAAACCAGCUGCUGAGUUCAGAAAGAGUAUGAUUCUUCUUACAGAAAAAUCAAAGGAAGAAUUAGCACGGAUUUCUGAAGGCAAGUAUCCUACCCUCACAGUUAUGUACACAGAAAUAUUUACGUAUCUAAAGGUAUGUUUUGGAAUUUAUUCAAGUGCAUCAGUGAAUUGGGAACCUGCAAAUAGUUUUUCUCAGGCCAGGGUCGCAGUGGGGAGCAUGGCACAAAGACCUGACCCAAACAGAAACAGGUUCAGGGCCUGAGCAAAACCUCCACGAGGCCACCAUUAAACAGAUCCUCCAGACUUGACACUUCACAGCUUCAAGCAUUUGCAAAGCAAGUGUAGCACAGCAGGUCUUGCUGAGCCUAAUGGCACAGUAAAUCUGGUAAAUAAGUAAGCAGCAUACAGCAGAGAAGAUGGGGGCCAUGUCUGAAGUUUGUGUCUUACAGAGUAUUGGCAUGGUGACUUGGCAGAGUCUUCUGAAUGUUUUGAGUUACCUUGAUGGGUAAUGAAACUAUUUGCUAAUCUUGUAUGUAUAUAUAUAUUAUAAAGGGAUUUGUAAAAGAGAGACUGUGGGCAGCUGGCCAGUCUGGCUGUCCCCCCGUGAGUCUGGAAGACAUUAACGGGAUGGAGGGUGCAGCUGUUGAAACCCCCUUGAGCAUGAAGAGCUGUUGGAGAGGAACAAAACUGGAUCCAAGUACGGGAAGGAAAUGGGUCAUGGACACCAAAUAACAAGUGUAGCAGCAUCAGCCUCUGCUAACGACCCUAUGUUUGCCUGUUCUGUAAAAUCCUCUUUAAAGCAAUACUCUAGCAAUUAAUGAACCUGUUUAAAACAAACACUGAACAAAACCAAUAAAACCCACAACCAAGCAAAACAACUAACCAAUCAACCAAAAAAACAACCAACCAAAAGCCAAAAGCAAAACCAAAAAAACUCCAACCAAACCAAAACCCAGCUAUAGGGAUCUGCAGCAACAAUUCCUUACUUCAGGAAACGGAGCUCUUCUGAACAAUAACAUCUUCUGUCAUGCCUAAUCAAUCUAAUUAAAGAACACUACCACACUUUAUUAAUGUAAUUUAUCUCUUGCCUGAGGUGAACUAUUUUUAUGCUCCAGUUACUCAAACAUUACUGCUCCGUGUUUGAAGAAAUUGUAUUAUUCAGUGAUGUUUAUGUUCCACAAUAUCAGGUGGCAAUUGAACAAGUGCCUGAGAAGGUGGGUAUUUCCUAUUUCAGAAAAGCUGUUUUGGAGCACACGUUGUUUCACAGGUUGGACUUGGGCAUGUUCAUCUCUGAAUUGCAACCGAAGGCCUAGACAAGCCAAACACUCAACUGUCAGCAUUAAGCAUGUGAGUAGCCUGUGUAAUUGCACAUGUUCACGUCGUUCAAUGAGUCGGGGUUGGAAGGCCAAGUUUAUUCCAGCUGAAGAUCUGGCAGGGAAAGGCUAAUAUGCUCUGAAGGAGGAAGGAAUUUAGUUAGCUCUAGAGCUUAAAAACAUUAAAGGAAAUGUCAGUAGAAAAAAAAAAUGUAUUUAGUUUAAAAGAUAUUAAUUGCUCCUGUGAAGUGUGCCUCUGAUGUAGCCGUAGUUGCAGGGCUCAUGGGCAUAGUAUCCACCCGUCUUUCACACCAGCUGGAAGAAGCAGUUUAACAUCAUCUGUGGAGCAAAACAGCGUAAGACAAUGGAAAACAUUGUCCAGAACCGACAGCGGGGUUUUCCUGGUGAUUGCUUGCAAAUUGUUGCUGUCUGCUUGAAAGCAACCAGAAAAUUCAGAUUGGAUAUUAGGAAAAAUUUAUUCCCAGAAAGGCUUGAGAAGCAGUGGAACAGGCUGCCCAGGGCAGUGCUGGAGUCACCAUCCCUGGAGGGUUGGACAGACGGAGAUGAGGUUCUCAGGACAUGGGGCAGUGCCAGGGGUGGGUUGUGGUUGGACUCGAUGAUCUUGAGGGUCUCCUCCAACCAAAAUGAUUCUGUGAUUCUAAAAUAGGAGAAGGAAAGGAAAGAAACACAGAUCUGCCUUGAGCCUGUCCUGACAGAGGGCUGAGAGCUCCUGGACGUGCAAGGCUGGAGGCAAAGUGAGUUGGCAAGGGAGCUUCCUGCCCACCCUGCUGCCUGUCUUCAUGUGCAGAGCUGAGCUGGGCUCAAUCACAGCCAUUUUCGGCCACCUGUCCAUGUUAUUUGCCUGCACUUUUCUUGAGCAGCCUGAGACAAAACCCCAUGUGGGCUUUGUCUCUGUCUUGGAUGGAUAAGAUGGGCCCUGUCCUGCUAGGGACCCGACCUGCUUUGAGGGCAGCUGCCGUUUGCAGACAUCUGGGCUGGGUUUGAGCUGCUCAGGUACAGCCUGUGCAGAGCCCGGGGAGAACCUGGGCUCAGAGAAGAUGGUGGAGAGCAAAGCUGGGUGGGGAGAUGGAAAAGCAGACAUCUUGCCUUGAGCUGCAGCACUUUUCAGUCUCAGAUGUGCAGGAGCAAUUCCUGUCACCAGUUUUUGAUGGGGCAAUGGGCUCUUUCUUCGAUGGGCUCUUUCCCAGCCCAUGCAUAGGGGAAUUAGUGCAGCAACUGUGCAGAUUUACUCAGGUCAAUGCAGAGAAUUUCACAGCUAAAUUUAAAGCACCAUUAAGUAGGAUGGUGUGUAGGGAACAGCACCAUCCAAUUUUUCGUUUGUUUGUUUUUAAAGUUGGCUUAUGUAUUUACCACUUUCCUAGGCAGGUUCUUAAAAAUAAAUUGCCAAACAGAUUCUGUCUUGUGAAUAGAUCCAAAUGAAUUUUAUUAAGAUUUUUACAUAAUUUCUUUCUACCCUGCUCCCAAGUUGACUUUGGCAGUUUAGAAAGGCUUCUAAGAAAAAGAAAAAAAAAAAAAAAAAAGAGGGUUUAUCCUUUAUGAAUAAGUUAAAUGCAAAUUUCCUUGGCUAGUGGUUAGAUCUUUUUUGGAUUUUCCUAGAAGAGAACAAUGACUCACAUCCAUUGAUGAAGUACACCUUAUCUCCAUAUUAUUAACAAGUGCAGUCGCGUGAAUCAGACUGCAUCUGCCAUUGAGAAUAGAUGAGAAUAGAGAUGCUUGUUUGGAGGACAGAGCAUGUUGUGUUUAUGGCUCCAAAACCAAAGUACAGAUUGGAGAUUUGUCCCAGGUCAGAGUCUCCUUGACAGCCUGUGCACUGUUGCAUAUUAAAAAGUUGGAUGGCAAAAAAUAAAUAGUGGACUGGACUGGAAAGGUAACUGAAUAGCGUGUUGAACCUGGUGAAUUAUUUAUUUAUUUAUUUUUAAUGAUAAAAUAAGGAAAAUCCUUGCUAUGGAGCUGAUCAUUAGUGUAACUGUGAUUUUACUGCUAUGUUGGAUAAUUUGUUUGAACAUUGGAGAAGUGGAAAUAAAUAUGCAAAAGACAGAGGAUCUAUAAACAGGUAAGUCAGCUGGGGCAAGCAAAAAUUCAUGUAGUAUGCCAUGAGCAUGAUGAGAUUCAAAAAAGGCAUAAGGGCUGAAGAAAAUGGUAAAAUGCAUGGCACAGAAAGCAGCCAUUCUGUUAGAAAAAGCCAUUAUAGCAAACCAAAUCAAUGCAAUCAAGAAAGAGCAAUUAAUUGAAGCUGGAAGGUACAUUUCCCAGACCUAAACCUGGCUUUAUAUUUAUAAAACAUUUUUUUGCUACUAUUUAUCUGGAGGCUGUUUGCAUAUUAUGUCUACCAAGUCCUAUCCUUUGUUUCUUCAUACCUGUCAGGGUCUCCCUGAUAUUGCUGCCGAAGGCUCUUCAAAAGCUGUGCCCACCCCCACCCUGAUGCCUCCUUUGCAGCAGCUGGGAACCCGUCCUGCCUCCGGAGGGUGGUGGCAUCUCCCCACACCAGCAUGUCACUGUCACCCUCCCGUAGCGCAGGGAGGUGGAUGUGGCUCUUGCUCAAAGGACAAUAAAAAAUGACUUCUGGUGGUGUUGCCUUGGAAGAAAAAUUGACAACAUAGAUUUUCAUUUAGAAGAAAAUCUAAUAUAAGUGUAUAAGAUUUCUGUUUCAAAAUCAGUGACCCGUACCUGGAACAGGAUAAGAUACUGUAGUUUGAAAGAGUUUCUCUGUUGCUCCCUGCUUCCAUAAAAAUGAGAGAAAAAGAAUCACACAAUCAUAGAAUGUCCUGAGCUGGAAGGGACUCACAAGGAUCAUCAAGUCCAGCUCCUGAAAGAGAACUGGAUUUGGAAGCUCCAGAGCAGCACACAGAAAUAAAGUCCCCCUCUCCUCCCAUCUCCAACAAGUGUCUCUCUGGGGCCUGGCCAGGCAGAUGAAUCAGAGCAGAACUGAACCGGUUCAGAAGCCGAGUGAACACGUGUGGUAACCCUGCCAGAUUUAUUGCUUUAUUCAUUAUUUAUGCAGACAGCAGAUGCAAUACAGAUUUAGGGACUGACCACUGAAAAGAAAUGGUUGACGUGGCUUCACCAGGUGCAUUAAACACUUCGGCAUUUCAUUGCUGUGUGGUUCCUAACCCCUGUGCUAAGAUACUGGUAUUUAUUAGAAGUAGCGCCCACCAAAGCUGAUGUUUCCAUUGCGGGGAUGGUGUCCAGGGGCUGCGGGGGUAAGCGUACCGCGCAGAUGAGGUGCUCUUCCUCCAGCACCUGUAAGGUGAUAGAUGCUGCAUGGGAAAUCUCUUGCGUAAGAGAUGGGGUGUAUGUCCCUUCCACCAGGGAUCACCUGGGGCUAAUAACAGCCAGUGCUCCCAGUGCCUCCAAGGGGGUUUAGUGGUCAGUAAGCCUUAAUGGGUCAGUAAGCCUAAGAACCCCAGGGAAUGGCAGAAGUUGUGCCAGGGGAGGGUCAAUUGGACAUGAGGAAAAGGUUCUUCACCCAGAGGUGCUGGACACUGAACAGGCUCCCCAGGGAGCUGUCACGGCCCCAACCUGACAGUGUUCAAGAAGAGACUGGACAACGUCCUCAGACACACGGGGUGACCUGUGGGGUGUCCUGUGCAGGGACAGGGGUUGGACUCCACGAUCCUUGGGGGUCCCUUCCAACUCAGGACAUUCUGUGACUCUGAACAGUAUGCUGGGAGCCCUGUAGAGGAGCAGAUCCCACAUGUGGCACCUGUGGAGCCUCGUUAAUUGCGGGGAGGAGGUGCUAAUGAGAGCUGCACCAUCCCCUGGGUCAUGUUUGCUCUGAGGGGUGAGGAGUGAAGCUGCUCCUGGAGGGAAGGGCAGAGCAGUGCUGCUGAGCUUGGGUUGUGCACCUCUGUCCCUGGAGACAUGACAGCAGAGGCUCUGACGGGCAAAGGUUGGGGACUUGUUGGGUGUUGCAGCAAAAGCUUCGUGUUAGGGACAAGCCCUGCAUCCCGUCCUGCUGCAGCGCAUUGUGAAAGUGUCUCCUGCUUCCUCUGUUUCUGACGAACGCUGCUAUCAGCUUGGCUAUUGCUCAGCCACGGUGAUAUUGCUGCUUGAUUUACACGGCCUCUCUGCUUCUUGCUCCUGUGCUGCAAACCCUCCCUGUGGACCAAAACCUGUGAUGCUCUAUAAGCAGCAAUGAGUACACUGCCCCAGGUUCAACCCUCACACUGGGCUCCUGCGCUUUGGGCACAGAAAAUCAGAUUUCAGAGCACUGCGUGCCAGCUGUUCUUCAUCUUCCUGUUGUAUCAGAGCUCUGCAGUGAAGCAAUAACGCCUUCCGUGACUGCAGCGUGUACUGACAAAGGAAACUUCUCUGUUGUGCCUUGAAAGAAGGUUCCUGAACUACAGAAUCCCAGACUUGCACUUGUAACGUCAGCUGUCAGAAAGCUGCCACGCUUCUCUUGGUCAACAGCAGUGUUGUUUGCUGCCUGUCUGCAUCAAGGUCAAAAUCAGAAGAGCUGGUAUCAGUGGUUUACACCAAGCAGAGAACUUUCCUGAUACUGGUAUUCCAUGAAGCUACUGGAACAUGCCCUGUGCACUGCUCUGUAAGGAAUCAUUGAGUUCUCAUUGCUUCAGAUGAGGGAUUUUCUCCCAGGUAUUCCCAGCCAGCAGGUUCGUGUUCCUGAACAGGGCGCAGCGUUUGCGGUUGUCUCUGAUCUGGUACUAUUGUUAUACAAAAAUAAUAUGCUUUAGAUGUCUUCAGCCAGAAAGGUGUGAUAGACCAUCCCAUGAAUAUUGCUAAGAUACCAUCUUGGAACUUGGAGUACUUCCUGCUCCAGAGAAAGAUUCAGAUUUUUCUGUGCUUUAGUGAUGUUUUGGCAGAUGCUGCAAGGGGAAAAAUACCCUUCAAGCUCCUUCUCCAGUUCCUCAAAAGAGAAGGGUGGAGAUUAUUUAUAAAUGCUACUAGAGGUUUGAGAGAGAAGAGAGGUUUGAAGGACUGUGGAUACAACUAUUCUUUAAUAGAGAAGUGAAGUGUAAAUCAGUUGGAUGAGAACCUGUCACAGUCGAGCCCCACCAGCUUCCCCGUGCUGUGAAAGGGCUGUUGCUGUGAGCCUCGCUCCUCUCUCUGCUCCAUGUUUUGUUCAACUGUUUUCCCUGUAAAUUGAAAAUGGGACAUCUGUAAUGUGGAGAUAUUCUGGCAGGCAGGGUGUCAGAAAAUUUGUGUAUGAUGCUCUUGUAAUGAUGUUUUCUAGUGGCUGCAGCUUUCGUCAAAUGAGCACAGACAUCCAUCCAUCCAUGGUAAUAUUCCAUAAAUAAGUGUGUACGGCCAAAUCACUGGGCAGCACACACAUGGGCUUUAGCUUAGAGCUGAACAUUCAAUUUAUCUGUUUUGGCAGAAAAAGAUGAAUUUGUGGUUUGGUUUGUUUUGUUUUUAACGUCAACUCUUUCCCAGGCCAUUCUUACUUUGGUUUUAUGAGCCUCAGGAUGACUCUGAGAAAGUGUUUGUUUCCCAUAGCCCCUCUGUUGUUUAGCAGUGCUUUGGGUUCUGUUUUUGCACAAAUGUUCCUGUAUUGGUUUCUGUGGUCUUCAUAUCCUUGGUAGCCCACCUUGUUACACAAGAUGUUUGUGAUACGUGGUGCCACCUGGAUGAGUUCUCCUCAGGUCUACCAUUUUCAUAUGUCUAACAUCAGAUAAGCAAUAUGCAGCUUGUUACCUCAAUAGAACGACAGAGCCUUACCACAGUUGGUGGAGCCAUGAUUAUUAACUAAGUCUAGGGCAUUGUUGCAAGUUUUUGGUUUGCUUAAUGCACCUUCCUAAAACUGAGCUGCUGGGCAGGGGGGUUGGGUUGGUUUUUGAGAUGGAGGAGACGGUUUGAGCAAUUGGAUCAGCAGAAGUGACUUCUGAUCAGUUUUUAAAUCUGGCCUCACUUAAAAGCUGCUGUUGUACCCUGGCACUAACCCUAUUGAUCUUGUAGGGAGAUUAAUAGAAUGACGUUGGAACACUGGGGUACUCAGAAACACAGGGCAGGAGCUAUGCUCACACCCUGAAGGUCUCUCCAGCUCUCAUCAGUUCACCAAAGCAACAUGUGGUUAUCUCCUAAAAGAGUACAUUUCUACCUCGCAGCUGAAAACACAUUUACUGUGAUCUUUUUGUGGCAUCUCUUUAGUGCAGAAUGCUGAGCUUCACUUGUGUAGAUUUGGUUUGUUAUUUUCACCAUCUGACUGCUCUAAUCUGUCAGAUUUACAGUCUCAUUAUUUUACUUUAUUAUUAGAUCCCAGAUUAAUUAACACUGCAAUGGUGCUGGCUCAUUAGCAAUAUUCAUUGGGGUCAUCCCACACAGAUAAGUGUACCAACCUAAGGACAUGGAUUUCCUUGUUAUGUUAUCACAUUAUUCACUUGUCCUUACCAUCUCGGUGACACUGUGUUACUCCGUAAUGCCGGAAGAGUCCACUUAGCUAAAUAUUCUCCAUCAUCAGUUACCAUUUGUGUUGUUUUACUCUUUGUUCGCACUGGGCAGUGUGGUCUGCUGCUGCACUGACAUCUUUCCUGAGCCUCUGCCUGCGCAGCUUGUAUGCAAAGCAGUAUUUGUGGUAUCGCUGCAGGAAUAAUUUGAUUUAUUUUGCAUGCAAAAGAGAUAUAUCUUACUGAAUUCUCCUACUUCCACAAUAACUAGAUAUCAAUUUAUCAAUUAUAAGGUCAAGUCUCCUAAAUAACAUCUGGCUGAGUCUGCUGUUUCUUUCUUUGUUAAUAAAGCAAUUUUUCCUCCGAUCAUCUUGCAAAGUACCAUUACUCAGAGGCUGUGUUUUCUUUAUGUUGUGGCUCUGAGCCUCAUUUCAAAACAAACCUCUAAGCCCCAGUUGUGAUGGGAUUGUCUGUCGAGCUGGUGUUUGUCAAAUACUGCCUCCCUCCUCUGCAAAAUGUUAACCUGUAUUACCUUACAGUGCUGUAUGUCUUAGAUGCUUCAGGAGCCUCAUGGCUAUCUGUCAUGGUCUGAGGCAGCUACUAACUCAUGUGCUGGACGCUAGAUAUCACCUGAAAUUUUGAAAGAUUUGUCUUUUGGGGUGUUUUUGACAUUUCUGGCCUAUGUCAGAUUAGUUGGAGUGAGUGAGCAGGAGCUUUAGUGAAAUACUGUUUUUUGUGAUUGCUUUGAGGUUCCCCAGGUCACCUACUCUUCCUAUGAGUCUGUGGAAAGCCAAAGCUUGCAUGGUUCUGGAAGUUGUACCGCCCUACUCAUCCAAUUCAGCCCAUGAAACACAAGUCCACAGACUUCCUCAGGUUAAUUCUUGCCUGGAUUAGGUUACUUGCUGCAGAGACCAGGAGCCAAGCAAAGUGUGCAGCAGCUCAUUUGUCCUGGAGAAGUCGAGGCUGCCCAUCCUCGAGUAUCUGAGAGCUGUAAACCAGCCUUUUCCCCAUCACAUAGCCAGACAUGUACAUGCUGUACAGCCACCAAGAAUCAGGAAAUGUCCCUUGCCCAUGGCCAGCUGGGUGUUUCCAUCACUAGUCUGGAGGUCUGGGGCAGGGCUACAGUCCCGUGUCUGGAGCAGGCCUGGGCUGGUGAGCUUUAGACUGCCCAUGUUUGAGAGUUCACCCCUUCUGUCAGAUAAAAGGAAUGGAUUAAAAUUCUCCAAAUGCAGAAAAUGUAUCCUUGUUUCAGUUUGCAUCUUCUUGUCCUCUGUGUCUGUGGCUCAUCUGUGAGAAGGAGGCAAACUGAAACAAGGAUACAUUUUCUUCACUGCAAGGAGCAGGAGGUCUCCUGGUAGUGUAGGUGCUGAGCAGUUAAGCAUGGUCUUCUCCGUGGUGCUUUAAGGUGAUGGUAUAGGUAGUAGAUUCAAAGGAGGGGGCUGUGUUCAGCAUUUUGGUCAUGGUGCCAAACAGAAUUGUCCUCACUUGUCAGAUCUCCCCGGUAGCUGGGAUGCCAGGACCUCUUUUGGCGCUGGUCCCUUGGCCUGUGCAUUUUGUAAACCUCAAAAUGACAUUCCCAAUGACCACCAAAACAACAAGGAGAUCAGCCUUCCUCCUGAACUAAAAGAUGCUAAGGGCAAUGGUAGCACUGCAAAGCUGUUUAAAGCCCCUUUCCUGGUUGUUCCUCCUAAGCCUUCCAUUUAGAAUUAUUUGAAUUAGUGUACGUUGCUAUCUGAGAAGUUUUUUUGCUACAGGCACUGUAUUGACAUCACCAGUAUCUACUGCUUCUGGGAGAAAGAGCAGCUUGAACAAAGGCUUUGAAAGUAUCAGUGUGUUCAGAAGCCAGAGUUGGGAAUUGAAGCCAGAUACCACGAGCGUGUUAACAUUUCAUUUAAUCACAAACCAUUAUCUCCUUCAAUGACCAUCUCAGUAAUAUGGCCAGAAUUCAUUUUCACUGAAGUCUGAAGACUGGUAUUGUAUUUAGGUUUAGCAUUCCAGUAUGCAUUGAUGAGCUAGAAGCAGCCUGAAGGGAAAAUAGAUGUAAGAAAGUAGUUCUUGAUGUUAGAGAUGACAGGGUAAUACACAUGAAGAAAGUUACUCCGAGAUUUUGUUUUCCUUUAAGAGGAGACACAUAUAAGUAUCUAUAAUAAAGAGAGCAAAAAAAUCAUGAGCCUUUAAAACAAACAAGCAAUAGAACACAGAUCCCUGAUGUGACUUGGUGCAUGUGGUAGUCUGGAAGCAGUUUAUUGCAGUUGUCCUUCAAAGGAGUUCCCAUGCUGGGAUUGCAAAUUAUUUGGAAACAAAUUAUUUAGUGUGACGAAAUAAAGGGUAUGGCAUCCAAAAGUGAAAUAAAUCCCUUAGAGCUUCAUCUGGAGUGGAAGCAAUACUUGUGAAUGUCUCCAGGUCAGAACAAAUCACACAGGACUUUAACUUACCAAACCCCAACCAAUUCUGCCAAUUCGUGAGUUGUACCUACCAAUGCCACUGCUGUGGCGAGGCUGUUGUCCCAAAACCAGGGUUCUUUACCCUGUGUGCAUCUAAGUGAGCCAAAUAUAGCACACAGAGAUGAGAUAUUGUUUAUUACAGAGUUGUGCAACCUGGCUGCUGGAACAAAGCCAGCACGCCAGCGGGAAAGGUAACAGCCGUUAUAUACAGAAACUUAUCCCUACUCAGGGCAGUCCUAAAGAGCCUACUAGUUGCACAUUUGCACAUUGCAUUAGAUAAUCAUUUUAGCGUAUAAUGAGCAGCAUUCAGCUAAAGGACACUUUAUCCAACAAUCUUGAGAUACGUGUUAAAGAGAGACUCAGCUAAUUGUGCGGGCCUCAAAAUGUCUAAAGCUGCAAGGCCAGUCUCUGAUUAGGAGUUUUGCAAAGUCACCCUGGUCUUUGUCAGACUGACCUAAAACUGAAAGGAUUUACCUAUCUUUAGGUUAGUAAUUGCAGACAGGAUUCAUUCUUCUCUGUGGUAAUGACAGCAAAGGUGAUAAACACUGCUCUGCUCUGCUCUCUGGGGUCCUGCUGUGAAGCUCAUGGGAUUGGGAUUGCAGCUGUCCUGGGAAAGAAGGGGUAAUGACACUCGUUUGUAUGCACUUUUAAUUGUACAGCUAUUGGGUCUCAAAAUGAGAAGUACAGCAAAACCUCUGUUUAACUAGGAUUAGUUUCUUUACAUAUAAUGGAGAAAGACUUCACUUGGUUAAUUUUAGCCUGCCUCCUGCCUUUCAUUAGCAGAUAGAAGGUUCUUUGUGUGCAGGGGCGGGGGGUACGGAGCACAGGGAGGGAGAUCUCCGAGGCUGCUGGUUUCUGCUGGGUGGUUUUCCGCAGGAAGCAGCUGGGAUGCUGGAGCUGCUUGAGGGGGCUUGGACACAGACAGAGGCUGUCAGGUGUGUGCCUCUGGCUCUGUGAGAAGCCUUAGUCAGAAACUAUUUUUGUUUAAAGCAGUUCUCACAUUCUGCAUUAUUCAAGACUUCAGGCCUUUAGCAGAGUCCCUCCAGCAGCCCCUGCUGCAGACAAGGGCCCAUCUGUGACCCGGCUGCGUACAGCAAGGGGAACUUCUGUCCUUCCCCACUUAGAGAUGGAACCAAGAAAGUCAAUGGUACUGACAGUCCUGAGGUCACAGGCAGUGCAGAUUUUCCCUGGAGUUUUACCAGCGCCUGUGGGGGAUGCAGACAUUUGCAUGAAUCUUAAUAGCUUUGUAUUUUGGAUAAAGCUGGACCCAACUUUAUACCAAAGUCAUAUCUGGCAAAUGCAGUCUGAGGUUAGACAAAGCAGUGGUUUUUGUUUCUUUUUUCCCCCUUUUGCUCAGGAAAUAGUUACCUGCAAGAAGCUUCCUAGUAAAAUUGCUCAUCUUGGGGUCCUUCAUCAAUCUUAGAAGAGCCAUGUGUCUGUGAAGCUAUGCACACUGUGAUGUUGAACUUUCCAGCAGACAUAGGUCUCCAUUUAUUGUCACACAAGAAGGUUCAAGGCUAUUUUCUGACAGGGAAUCAAGGAAAGCAAGAGUUUCUCAGAGAUUUCUUGUGCUUUUGGAGAAGGAAGGCUCUAUGUGGAUGGUGCAGGACACAAAGUGAGAAUUGCAGCAGAGCCGGUUGCCAGACCAGACUGUUUCUGUGCUUGAUGCAGCAUCCUUAGGACAGAAAGCCUUGGGUAGUCACGUUGGAUAGGCAGACAGCAUAACAUCCUGGGGUUUAUUUAAUUUUAAUUAUGAGGUUUGUUUAAUUGUGGCACUGAUGAAAGGGUCACACAAAACAUGCACAGCACCAGUGAAGCUGUGUGAAGAUACUUGACGGAAAUGAAAAGAGCACUCUUAGCCUAAAUCCCCAGUGCCCAUCCCUGGAUGCCAUGGGCAGAACGAGAUACUGAAGCAGAGAAAUGUUGAACGGCUCCUGAAAGCUGCGCAAGAGCCUUUCUGACCAUUGCUGUUCUCUGGCAAAGCCCCUUCUCACCAUGUCCUUUGAUGACCAGGAUUGCUUUGCUCAGUGCUUAACCUGAACGUCUGUGAUCUGAAACCCUCUGUGGGGUGAACAGGAUCAAAAACAUCGCUAUAAAGCCAGUAUUAAAAGAGAUGCUUCUAAAAAGCACAUAAAAAGGACCAGGAAUCUUGCACCAAAUCAUUUCCUCCAGAAAGGAAAGUUGUGGGCCGAACCUUCCAGACUUCGCCAUGAGUCACGGCCUCCCGCCACGCUCCGGGCGGGAGGAGGGGGGCUGACCUCACAGGUCUCUGUUCAAGAUGAUCAACUCUGUCUUAAAAGUCUUCUGGAGAUGACUCACAGCUCUCCUUUCACAGCCCGCAAGCAGAACGAUGCAAUCUGUGCGAGUGAAGGGAUCUGCCACAGACCAUCAGGCUUUCAGUGCAGAUGAAAACUGUCAGUCACUUGUUGAGUUGUGCAGUUUGUAAGCGUAACAAGCCCCGUUUCCCAUUGUUUUGGAGAAGAAAAAAACUAACAAAACAAAAUCCCCCAAAACAACAACAAAAACCAACAGGAAAAUAAAGUAAAUUUCUUAACAGAAAUUAAUCUUUUUAAAAUUUCAAAUUGCAACAGUUUCCCAAUUUUUUUUUUCCCCAUGAGCUGUUAAUCCUCCACCUGAACGUGAAUGCAGGGAUUUCCUAGAGAGGACCAAGCUGUGCCUCUGCAGGGCACCCCGCCAUGGUGGGGCAGGGGCUGUCUGUGGGGCACAGGCCUUGGGGGGGUAACAGAAUGGUUGCUGGGUUUGAAGGGAAGCAGGUCCCUAGCAGAAGGUGAUAGGGGACAUGUUCCUACCACUUACUAGGUGACAAAAUGCUUUUCAUGAACACGUCCUUUACUGCAGUCUGGCGAAUUAAUAAGGAUCAUGGAUAGGAAAAAAAAGACAAAAAAUCUAAUCUCCCCGAGAAAUCCUGGAGUGAGGUGGUAUCCCGAGUCUUUUCCAUAGGAACUAUGGGAUGGUUCCUGUUUUCCACAACUGUUGCACUUCCCAGAUCACAUUGAACACUCUUCCUCUUGUCCACGGAAUUUACUGAGUUCUCUCUUCAGGCCUGGGAGGAAUCAGAGCCGUGGUUUGCAGGCUCCUCGGUUAACCCAGAGGUGUUAUAGCCACGGGGGUUGCUCUGAGCUGCUGCUGAGCCCUCCUGCGGUAGCAGGGGAUGGUACCCCUGUGUGUAGCAGGGGACGGUGUCAGACCUAGCGGAGAUUAGAAAACUCAAGCAGGUGCACAUGUAGUAAAGAUCUUUCAAAUACAUUGGACUGUGAGUAAAUUUUGAGCAUGUGGUGGUGAAGAAAAAGAAUAUAGUGGUCUGAAUGGAGGAACAGGCUUGCCAAAUGCUUCAAGAAAGCUCAAAGAGGUUUAAAUGGUAUUUUCCUCUGCAUUUAUAUGUGCUGAGCACCACUGAAAAGGGCAAUGGCCAGAGGUAAUGUUGCUGAGGAUGACAGCCCAGAUGAACUUCACGUAUUUGAAUAGUGUUCAGAUAAAACACAUGGUCUGGGUCAGCGUACUGAAGAGUUUUUGGGAAUGCCACACUAACGUGGCACAUCUCAGGAUGAUUUCUAACUGAAGGACAUAGAAGAUGCGUGGGGCUGCAGCAGAACUGAUGAGUGACUGAGGCUGAAGAGUCCAGCUGGAAAUUCUGGCAGGGCUAAUGGAGUGUGCGAUGAAAGACUGGAUUAGGGCUGGCAGCUGGAACAGAACAGCCUGAGAUGAUCUGUUGGAAGAUCUUGAAUUAACCUGUGACAAUCAGCCUCCCGGGGAGCACAAGCUGCCGGUUCAAUGUCCCCAGCGGGGGGGGGGUGACCCGGGAUGCUGGGCGGGGGUGGAUGUGAGCAGAACUCCGGACCCCGCGGAGAGGAGCUGCUGCGGAGGGUCCUGCUGUGCUCGGCGUCUGAGCCUGCGGAAAGCGCUGCCGCAUGGAAACCGAGCAGCGUUUUCGAGCACCAGCGUGGUGAUGUGUGGGCAAUGACAGCCCGGACUGCACAGGAUUAUCUGUCAGAUGAGCGUUAUUGUUGCAGCAGAAGAUGAACGAGCUAGCAGCUUGAAAGCAAAAGGGACACUUACUGAUUUUAAAUUGAAAAUUGACACAAUCUCAUGAGUUAUUAGAGGCAGCAUUUGCAGUACUCGAAGGGGAGCCAUAUGCAGUGGGAGGUGAGCAGUUAAAACGCUCAGCUUUUGGUUGGUCAGUUAAGGGAACGCAAACUAAAGGAGGUAGGGGUAAAUAACUGGAAAAUUUUUGCUGUGAUAACAGCUUGGAAAAAAGUGCUUGUUACUGUGUUAAGUGUAUUCAAGUCCUUGGUGUUUUUAAAUCUGGGAGUUAGUUCACUGAAAGGUCAGGGACUGAAUCAAUGAGGGGGAAUUUGAGAAUGUCCCCAGGGAAUGAGAAACUCUCAGCAGAACAUGCCCAGAGCUGAGAGUGCCCCUUGGCCAAAGCCACCUUUCCCUUCUGCUAAGGCAGGCAUGGAUUUCUGUUGUUGGUGUCAGAUGCAGAUAAUAAGAAUGUUAACUUUGUUUUUUAUUAGUUCUAGCAGAGGAGAAAAAUGGAAUAUUUAGCUGGUGCUGGGUGAGGUAAAUCAACAAUGAAAAAUCUCCACUGCUGCUGGGAAAUUGCAAUUUGGAGAGGAAGCAGAGCAGUGAGGGCUCCUGGGCACCAGACUGCGCGUUCAGCCCUGCCAGACCUGCAGCACAGCACCGGCUCACUCUGGGAAAGUCCUUGUCCCAGAGGUGAGGGCUUCCCUGGAGUUCCAGCUGGGGUAUGUGAAGGUUUGCAGGGAGCUUCUAGAGUCAGUAGAACUGACCGUUCUUGCUCUGUAAGGGCCUCAAGAUAUGGAUGUGUGGCACAAAAGCAAGAGGAGUCCCAACCUUGUGCGGAACAAGGCUGGUAUGCAGGGCUGUUCAUUAGAGGAAUGAGUGGCAGCUUGUACCUUGCUGCCCUUCCACAUCUUGUGGGGUGAUGCAUGCAAGCAUCCAUCUAGUAGCAUAUAUUUUAAAAUGGAUGCAAAUAAAUACGUAUAUAACAUAGACCAGAGCAGACUGAACAGUGAAAUCUGCAGGAGUGAGCAGCUCCUGUGGCAUGGGGUGGUCUCCGGUCUCUGUAUCCUUUCAGUAGUGGUGACUAAGGUUCCACUAUUUGUCCUUGCUAGUAAAUAUUGGGAGGCACUCAUUGUCAGAGCAGGCAGUAUCUCAGAUCUUGCAAAUUUCAGUAAACUGUUCUGCUCUUUACAUCUUUGAAAGAAGCAAGGGCAGGCUGAGCUUGCAUAUGCAGACACAGAUCUACGUUAACGAGAUGUCAAUUAGCCAGGCUUGCCGCGGAUGGGACCUACUUGUUGUCUGUCACUGAAAAUACACGACUUUGUAUCACACUGCUUGUCUGAGUGCUCAAUAGGGGGUGAGAGAAAGGACUGUUUUCCUUUCCUCUUCUUGUUUAUACAUAUAUAUAUAUAUAUAUAUAUAUAUAUAUAUAUGUUAGCACAACUGAAUGGGAAAUAAUGUUUGUUUCCAGAAAUGGGUUUUCAGGAGCUCCUAAGAGGCACUGCAAACACUCAGCAUUCACACACACCCCAAUAAGAAUAAACAGGGAACUGAUGCAUGCGAAUAGACCAUGGGUCUGGGCAUUUGUCCUCCCAAACUCUCCAGGGAAUGCUGUUAGAGUCUGAACAUUGUGGGAGGAGAACUGUGAUUUAUUCACAGAAUCACAGAAUGUUAGGGAUUGGAAGGGACCUCAAAAGAUCAUCCAGUCCAAUCCCCCUCUUACCAUAAAUAAAUAAAAAUAAAUAAGUAGGCUAAAUUAGUAAUAAAUAGUUCAGCCAGCUCUAGUGCUAAAUAAACGUACUGAAUUGUAAUGAAAAUACUAAAGCCUGUUUGAACUGGAGCUAGAAAUCCAAGGAGAAAUAACUGUGGAGCUUAAAUUAGCACUCACCAUAAAAUAUAAAUAUAUGAUAGAAAAUAUAUAUUUUUUAUUAUUAUUACUAUUCUUUUACCUCCUGAGAUGUUAGAGAUUCAUCUGUUCCCUGUUUUUGGAAGGCUUGAACCAGACCCUAUUCAAUGCUACACUGUGACACAAACUACUAAAGAGUUAUAAAAUUCCUUGAUGUAUGCUUUUGGACAGUAACUGUAUUUGUAGAGGCUCUCAUGGGGGUGCAUUAAUACUCAUAUGAGACUCUUAAGUUCUUAUAGCUAUCUCCAUAUAAAGGAUUUUUAUAGGAUUUUCCACACUGGGGUGGGGUGGGGGCUGCACAAUUUUAAUUAUACAACUCAAGCUGAAUUGGUAAGAGUUACAUGCGAAGGUAAAAGCCCUUUAGCAAGGCAGACUCCUUCACUUGAACUUAAAAUAAUUCUCUUCUUGCGAGUUCCCCUGAGAACAGCUGGAAAAAUCAAUAGCUUCUCUGUCACACAGGAGAGACUCGGCUUUGCCAGAGCAGGGAGCAGCGUGGUGCAAGGGUUUGCUCUUCGUGCCAGGUUUUGCUCUUGGUGCCAGGGUUUGCUCAUGGUGCCGGUAUUUGCGCGUGGUGCCAGGGCUUGCUCAUGGUGCAAGGGUUUGCUCAUGGUGCCAGGGUUUGCUCAUGGUGCCAGGGUUUACUUGGUGCCAGGGUUUGCUCAUGGUGCCAGGGUUUGCUUGGUGCCAGGGUUUGCUCAUGGUGCCAGGGUUUGCUUGGUGCGAGGGUUUGCUCAUGGGUGAGAGAGUUUGCUCAGUGUGAGGAUGUGCUUGGUGCAGGGGUUUGCUGGGUGCAAGGGUUUGCUUGUGGGUGAGAGGGUUUGCUCAGUGCGAGGGUUUGCCUGUGCUCUGACACCAGCACAGCUGAUGUGACCCACGUCUGGGUGGCACCAGGCUGCUCAGGGGCCACCAAGUGCCCAUCAGCCUGUCAUGGCCACUUCAGACCAUGCAGAGCUCUGCAGAGCUACAAACUGUGGUGUGAGUCAAAGACUUAAGAGCAGCUUUGAUGAAACCAGGUGGUUGAGGCAAAGAAAAGCAACAUGCAGAUGGAGUUCUCAGUUGGGGUCAGGGGUGUUUCCUUUGGAGAAGGCGCAGCUGCCCUUUUAUUGAGGGCAGAACCCUUGAGCAAUGGGGUGGGAUCAGCUUUGGGACUGCACCCCUGUCUGGUGUGCUGGGGAUGACCAGCAGUGCUGGUGCUUUCGUCUCUUUGGCUCAUUGACCAAGAGAAACCGAAAUGCCCGAUGGGAUAAGGAGGGCUUUGGCGUUAAGGGGCAGCUGGAAACUGGUCCCGAUGGUGGACAGGAGUGUCUUGAUGUGCAGACAGACUGGCAAUUCCAUGCCUCUGAGGUGUGGGCAGCAUGCUGGCAGUGAUAGAAAGCUAUCAGGAGCUAAGAUUCACUAGUUUGCCUGAUGAAAAUAGGAUUAUCUCCCUCCCUAAGUCCUGCAAAACAGCUCUCAGAGACAGAAUAUAUCUGUAUUUUCUGACUGCACUACACAACAAACAGAAUAUAAGAAUUUAGGACAAACAGAUAAGGUUUGUAGUCUCUCUAUGUGAACUGAAAAUGAAAAAAUGAGAGUUUUUUGCUUCAUUAUAAUAGCACAGAGCAGAGUGAUAUAGUGGCUCUGCAUAUGAAAUAGAGUUAGGAGGAUAAUCAGCCCAAACCUCCUACAAUCCUACAAUAGAGGCACCGGCGCUGGAGGCAGGAAGGAGAGUUAAUAAAUUAAGGUGCAACUAAAAUAGAUUCAUGGUCAUUUAGCAACGUGUCAGGGCUCCUAGAGAAAUGAGUAUAAUGUGUUUAAGUCUAAUGUACAAACAACUUUAAACAGAAAAGAAUGAAGGAAGGAGAAAAUGGGGGAAGAUUUAUUGCAGCAAGCAGCUGAGGUCAGUUUGCUUUCACAGGAGAACAGGAGGAACCAGCACAGGCCUGUUGGAAGGUGGCUGUGGCACUUCUUCCCUCGGUAGGAAAUAAAACACCUUGAGAAAGUAUCUGAAUACCCUUUUUUGGGAUGGGGAGUGGUCAGGUAGAAUAAACUUGAGCCACUGAUGUAUUUAUUGUUCCUCCUGCAUUGUUGUGAGAAGUCGCCAUGUCCGCUGGGUUUCCCAUCGAAGGACGAUAAUCAUCUAUCCAUCUCGGGCAGAAUAGAUGCAGCCAGUGGUUCUCUGGCUGCUGGGAAUCCACCUGUGCCUGCACAUGUCGGCUAGGUACUUAAAGAAAAAUAUAUUCAGCUAUGUAACUAUAUAAAUAGUUACUUUUAAGCUCUGAUCUAAAGAGAAGCGGGGGGAAUUCAGAAGUGUCUAUGCAGGCGUUCAGUAUGGAUUUAAGUUCACCGAGGGAGCAGCUCGCUGGAUGUAGAGAAAGCUUUAGCAGGUGUUUGUAGACAGAACAUAAAGAGCAGUUUUGCUGAAUGGGCAGUUGUGGUCUGAGCCCUCUCUGACAGAUGCAAGGCAAGUAGAAAAACAGGGAAUAAUUUCAUUUCUUACAGUGGUAUUACUUUCUCUGCUCCUAUGAAAGCAUGUCUGUGCCUAAAUAGGCUCUCUAAGGGCUGUGCUUUAAAAGGUGUCUAAGUGAAUGUUUUAGAAUAUUUUUUUCCCUCUGGGAUUGAAAUAGAGACAUUAAUUCCAUUAAUUCCAUUUAAUGGCUUUAUUGUGAUGGUGCUCACACCCCUUCUAUAUUCAUUUUUUGUGACUUGUUUAGCAGUUACUGUUGGUGCUGUUCACUGAAGUGGCACAUUAUAAGUGAACAGGCUCCUAGAUGACAUGGAUGAUUUUUAAACACUUUAUACAACCAGAACAUAUUCAUGCAGGACAGACAUUUAUUCAGUUGUUUCCAGAGACUGAGCCACUAACAGUUACAUUAGAGAGACAAAAGGAUCUGAGCUUCUGCUCAAGAAGUGCUGCUUUUGGCUGUUACCCUAAUGAAUCUACUGUUGCUAGAUAACAAUAGAUAAGAAGUUUAAGCUUCAGGCUUUGUCUGCUUCAAAAAUACCUUAGAAAAAUGAAAAAUCAGGACAUGCCUCUUCUGCAGUUAAUCUAAAACUCCAGCGAUGUCAACAGCACAGGUGUGGGGCUCAGGAAGAAUUAGAGCAUGAGAGAAAAAAACCUUUUCUUUAUGAAUCAAGUGUUUGAUUUAAAGUUUAUAAAUGUACUUUAGAAAUCUCUCACUUAAAUCUCUUAUUUGAGGCAAUAAGGUAUCCUAAGCUCUUAACAUUGUAGAGCUAAGUCUAAAAAUAAAUGUAAAAGAGAAGCAGAUGUAGCCAAAUGUAAGCCUUGAUCCUUGUUUAAGAUGCUGGCAAACGGGCUGGGAUCCCUGGGCCAGCCGGCAGCCCCUGCACACUGGGAUCCACCUGGGAUCAGUUCUGCUGCAAAACUACAAUAAAAAAUGUCCAGAUCAUGUUGUCAGUGAUGCUGUAAAUCUGCUCCUCUCACCGAAUUUAACUGGAGCCCAAGUGCCCAGAGCGGCAGGUCAUGCCCCUGUCGAGCUGUGUGCAUUAGUUUGAGUUUGAAAAUCAUACCCUUUGUAGUUAAGCUGUAAGUGUAACUAUAUAAGAGAUUUAUAGGGGAGAAUUUUGUGUUGAUUUACUGUUACUCUACCCAGAUGUGCGCUCCUGGAUGUGUGUGCCGGGCACGGGCUUUCCCUUUGUAAAUCCUGGGAGGUUUCUGCGUUGCAAAGAGCAGGGCUCCUCAGUGCUGCGAUGACUGGGAGAAUCCGCAGUGUUGCUCACUAAAACAGGGCAAAAUGAGUAUGAUCUCAGUCGUAAAAUUCUUCAUUUCAUAGUUCAUGCCGUUUCCAAUUCCUCACCACAGCAGCGCUUCAUCAGGAUGCAGGACAGGUUUACUGACCCUAUCCCUCCUGCUCCAUUGUUCCUGAAACUGCCGCAGAUCUUCCCAGCAGCUCUGCUGGUUUUAUUUGUUUAUUUACUUUCCAUUAUCUUCCUUUUUUGAGGUCAGUAGAUGACCGGCAGAUCUGCCCAAUUUAUUCCUGUGUAUGGCAAAAGAGACCUGGGUCACCCAAUGAGCCAUGAACUUCUAUUUCUAUUUCGCUGUGGUUGUACGGCCGUGAUCUGCACACUGCCAGUCAUCCACCAUAUUGAUGAGAUUAGCUGGUAAUUAAAAACCCAGCCAAGCCAGACAGAAGAAGAUGACUCAAUUAGCAGAAUGUCACUGAAUCUAAUUUACUUUGCUUAUCACAGAUUCAUUCUCUAAUGACUUAGAAAAGGAGAGUAGGACACCUUCAGAGGGAGAUCCAGGGGCUUAAAGGCUUAAACGCUUUCUAACCCCUUUAUGCUGGUGGUUGGUUUUGCGGGAAGCGUGUCGACUCUGCUAAUGGCACGAAAAAGCUGGUUCCCAACAAAUGUGCCCUAAGAGAGUGUAUCGACACAAGUAUGCUGUUGGCUGUUCCAUGCGACAGGCAGUGGUUAGGUCAGACCUUCCUUUGUUUAUAAACCUUCGUAUGUUUUUAAGUUGAUAGUAAGCAGGAGCUUUGGGCGUCAUGUUCUUGGACCUGCGUUCAGGGAGCAUUCAAUCUCAGUGAUCGUGAACUGACACUGAAUGGGAUAUUUGGCAAACGAAAGUACGAGGGAUUCCUGGAAACUAAAGCAUGUCAAAAACAGACAUUUUCCACUGCAAUGAGUAUUUUAAGGCACUUCUCAACGUUUUUCUCAUUUCAAAUGUGAUGUUUGGAUGAUUAACAGUUGGAAUAAUGUAUUUUACUGAAGCCCUUUGGAAAUACUUUAAGAGACUGUUGGACAGAUGUACAGCUGAAUUUGUAUGUAAAGUGGAGAGUACAAACCAUUAGCUCUUCUGCUAUCUUCAUGGUAGAUAAUGUAGCAUAUUAUGGUUGAUUUAAGUGAGGAUAUUACUGGGCCCUGAGCUUUUAAUGUGAUCUACAUGACAAAGCCCACAUGGCUUCAUGGGUCUUAGCGAGCUCACGGGGACCAUACAGGGGUCCCUACGUGCCAGUCAUGCAACAGGAUCAGGGCUGAAGUCUGCAAGAUUUUCCUCUUGUUGGAGCUUGUGUAUCACUGCUCAAUACUUGACUUUUUUAGCCUGGAAAGAUGAUUUCUGGCUUGGCAAAGAGACACCAAAUGGAGCAAACCGUCUCAUUCUGAUAGCUUUGUUCAAGUAAUAAUAAAUAUAGCAGAAAAUAUGAAGCUCUUAAAGCUUCCAAAGCCAUUAGAGAAUAUAUCUUCAGAGACUUAAUCCACGCUGGCAUAUCUAACAGUCCAGUGAACUGGUUUGGCAACUGUAAUGAGGUGUGUGCUUUUCUGCAAGCGUGUGUGUAUAUAUGUUGAUUGCAUGAGGGAGGCAGGGGCUGAUAAUGAGGAUGGAUGGGAUGGGGAACCUUCUCUGUUUUGGUCCUGAAUCCAUUACCAAGUGUCAGAGACUGAAAAGGACAAUGUCUCUAACAUUGUGGCAGAACCAGUUCAUCCAGCCACAGGAGAUGGGACAUUGAGGAUCAGGUGAAUUGCAAUUUACGUAUCAAUGACAAGCUAAGAGGCACCAACAAAGGCCAGGUGGCUGACACAGAGGGUGGGGGAUGUGUGGCACUAAGGGGAAGGACUGCUGAGACCUUUCAAGGUAGCCCGAGACCCUUAGUGACUUUUCCAUCUUUCACAAUCACCUCGCAGUAGCACCUGUGGAGAGGACCAAAGAUUAUGCAAGCAGGCAAUCCAGAGGACUGUAAAUCCCAGCUGUGCAAGCACCGGGGCAGCCACCAUCCUGAGGACCACUCUGCCCAGCAGUGUCACCACAGGGACUGAACAAGACACUGGAGGACGCUGCACAUUGCUGUAUCUGAGACUGCAAACCCCAUCAUACACAAAGCAGAGCCAUAAGGAUGGUGGUAUCUCUCUCUCUGUCUCUUUUCUUUCUUUCCUGUACUUCUAUUCUUUUGCUUUCCUUCUUAUAAGUAAUACAGCAACGUAAGAUUUACAACCCCACAGGUGCCACAAACUUUUUAUGUUUACCAGUUGAACUUAAAUCACAUAAAUCCUUCUGCCACCAAAACAUUUGCCAGUUAGGCUGAGCUGCAAAAUAAAAGCCUUUUGUUUAAGGACCUUAAGUAUUGCAUAUAUGCUUUUCCAACCAAGGGGACCAACGAACCUGAGUCACCUCCCCCACUACCCAUACACCUGUGGGCGGGAUGUGACACCAAGAUUUAAGAAAUGUUGGUUCAGUGAGGCUGUAGCUGUCCCUAAAAUUCACUGCUUUCACUACAUUUAUAAUGCAGCUUCCACAAAGAAGGAAAAAAUGUUUAGAUGUAGAUUGCUGUGCAGAGACAGGCAUUAAGUAUUUUGCAGUGUGAAAUAUUGCACUUUAAAUAUUCUUUCCUGCUAUUUUCAAUCCCUCUUUCCUUGUUUCUUGCCCCAAUAGUUCUCCACAUCAUAGAAGGCAAUUUCUUUAACAAUGUGCAAUUGUUCGAGGGUUUCUUCCCUGCUCCAUCUCGGUUGCAACAAGCUGUUUUGCAGAAAUCUGGCCAUUGGCAAACAUACCGCUAUAAACUAGCCUGGAGAGAACAAAACUCAGUAAGGUAUUCUCAUUAAGCUAAUAAUGACAAGGAAAUCCAAAUCCUCUCCCCUGAGUCACUGGGGUGACAGUGCCAGGCGGCACUGUGUCAUGUUCAAAUGCUGCCAGUGGGUAUUUUGUAUGUGUGCUGAGAUCACGACUCGGAGACUUUCAGAAAAUGAAAUGAACUAUAUGAAUUUAUGACUAGCUGUAGCCUUGGUAUUAACACUUAUUAAUUCCGUUCUAACUCUGCUGUUAAUACCAUGAUUAUCCUUGUUAUUAUUACUUGCUUGCUUUGUUAUCUGGAGAACAGUGUUCACACAGAUUGCUCUUCUUGGGCAUAUAAGCCACAAAGCCCAGCUCAAAGACCCUGCAAUUUCAGAGCUAGAUCUGCUCUGCUCACAGCAGGUAGAUCUUAUUCUCUAAGCCUUUCCAGUGACUUUUUUGAUGGAAAAUGUUGAAGACUUCCACAGGGGCAUCCCAGUCUGGCUCCAAGAAGAAUAAGGCAGGCAACAGAAGAGAUUAAAUACUCAUUCAUUUUCCUUUUGUACGUACCAGCUGCAGAGAGUGGGUCUUUUUGUGGUUUCUAUCAGUGAGCAAUUUGUUACAGGUUCAGAGAAGAGAUGGAAAACCACAGGUAACUUUAGCAUGGCUCUGUUGUUGCAGCAUUGGAGCUGGUGUGUUCAGUAGAAGAGUUACCACAAAGCGGUAGGAGUGAACAGAAGCAGCAAAGAAAGCUGGGGAGUUCCUCAAGGAUCCAAGGGUGAGAGGCUUAGCCUUGGUGCUCUUAAACAGAGGGAACAAGAGGAGAGAAGCUGGAGGAUGUGAUCAGCAAAGCUUACACCAGAAAAGAUGAGGCUGGGCUGGAAGUGUGAGGAAGGCUGCAGGUGUGGGUUCUGGAUGACGGCUGGUUGUUGUAGGUGAUGUACAGAACGCUGUACCAGCGCACAGGAAGGAGAGAUACUUUAUAGGAAGGUGUAAAUGACUGAAAAAUUAUCAGUCAAGAACAAAAGAAAGAUAUGACUCAAAGAUAGUUGUAUUAGUGGAACCGGUGCUUUUACACACUGAAUCUCAGGGAUGGGACAGAUCAAAGGGGAGUGCAUCCCAGGAUUAAGACUGUUGAACAAAGACUCUCCCCCAAGGCAACUCUGGCUGUAAGAGGCAGUGGGGGUAUCAUCAUUUCAUUCACAAGCAGCGCCAUGGAAAAGAAGUGUUCAAACAGUUCUUAAGCCUGGUUCUAAAGCAUCCCUCUUCCCCAUGGAAUCUCAAAGUGUUUUGUAAGUCAGACACAUCAGGAAAAGGUCUCUGUCAACCAAAUAUUUAUUUGAAGCCAUAUCACUGGAAAACACAGCAUAUAAAAGGAACCCAAGUCUCUCAGGCUCAUGUGUAAACCAGUGAUGAUCCUCUGCUCUGAUGUUUUGGAGUACUUUUUAUAGAUUGCCAUCAUCGAUGCAUGGCUCUCCCUUAACUCCUUCAGGGGCUCCAUCCCUGGUCCCUCCCCUCGGCAGUGAGGCAGCUGUGGUCCGUGUAGCUAGAAAGAAUUUGGCGGCAGACAGGUUGGGUGGAUAAUAAGGCACAGGAGGGCCUUUUAUUGCUUUUGUGGGACCUGAAGAUGAGCACAGGAAGGAAUGGUUUCAUUCACACAUAAAAAGCCAGACACCAUCAAGUGUCGCUUUUAAUUCUCCACUCAUCAAUUAAAAAGAAGAGACGAAGAAGCUCGGAGCCCCGUGUGAUGCAGCCAUGUGCAUUGCUGCUCCCCGCACUCCCAGCCAGCUGUCUGGUGGUAAUUGGGGUCCACAGCUUUGCCUGAGAGUCGAUAAUUACCAUCGCCACUCAUCGUGUGAGUGCCAGGUGGAGAUGGUGGCAUUGGGGGAUGAGGGGUCUAAGAGCUGGGUCUGGAUGUGCUGAUGAGGAGGAACGUCCGUGUCUGCUUAUCGAAGUCACAUCCUGGCAAAGCACGACUGUAGAGGAAGGUGAGCAGGGUGAGGGGAACGGGAGUGGAGCGCAUGGUUGAAUAGCAGAGGAAGCAGCUGGGAAGAGAGGAGAGUUUCUACCACCUGCAAGAACAGGAGUAAAAAAGCCUAAAUUUCGUCUCUGUGGAGCUGAGGACCUGCUUGGACAGUUCUGAUCAUGGUUGUGGCUGUAAAGAUGUCCUCAGUCUCACCAUGGGCAGCUGGCACUGCCCAGCCACCCUGCUCAGCAGGUUACAUUUCAGCUGGGGGUUGGCUCCUCCCAAAAGUAUUGUCCAGGAUAUGGUUGUCCAGCCAUAGUGCUGUUCCUUGCACGUUUGCUUUGUUAGAUUUUACCCUUGUGCACUGGAGCAGGAGGUGCGAGGGGUGGCUGCUGCCCCUGACCUGCCCCGGGGCUCCCAUCGCCUGGCUCCCAAAGGCUGUCAGGGCACCAAGGGGUGCUCCGCAUGGACAGAGGGAACAAGACGUUCUCUCAGCACAAGGAUGUGCUGUGCCAAACCCAAUAGGUGCAGUAAGGCAUCAAGAAAUUUUAACGUGACCUAAUAAAAACAGUGCUGCCUGAGCAACUGAGAUGCAGCCUCUGCUGCACUCAAGGAAACUGUCCGGCAGUGCUGGGGAAAAUCAGAGCCCUGGAGCAGCCCUGCAGCUGUGCAAAGUGAGCACAAAGGGGGAACAGAAGGCACAAAAAUGAGAAGGAAAGGGAGCUUGGUCUUCAGCUCCCUGGCUGCUCCUGUGUGCUGUGACCUGAGCACGGAGCUGCCCUUCCUGCCAUGGGGAGCUGCGGCUCAGCGGGGAAAUCCAGCAGAGUCCGACCUAUGAGGAAGGUACUUCCCUCAAGCAUGUAAAAAAUGUUUUUUAAGAAAAGAAUGAAAAACUCCAGCAAACAAACCCAAAGGUUGUUUUAUCAGCCACAGAGUUACUAUGGGUCUUGAGUGGAGUAGGAUUACAAAUAGUGUAACAACAGUCUAUAUCUGUGUUAGCCUAAUAACAUUUCUGUCUUUGACCCAGCCUCUCAAGGCCUUCCACAGAUGAAUACCAAUGACCCAGGCCUUCAUUAUCCUGUCAUUACACAAAUCCUGCUGUUAAUUUAUGUAUAGGAAAGAACUAGCAGCUACAUAAGGCUUCAUCAGCUGCAUAAUUACUGCAUAUAUUAUAAAACAACAGCAAAUGCUGUCUGUGAAGACAAACCAUCUCUGCUCAUUAGAAACCUGCAAGAAUUAAUUAAGCAGGGUGUGAUUCUGUCACUUGCAGUCACAGAAAUGGUCCCAGUGUGGCUCAAGAUUCAGCUACCUUGGUCUUCGCAAUGACUUUAAUGGAGAAACCAGAGCAACUAUUAAUAAGAUCAGCAUCUGACUUAAACCAAAGCUGAGGGAGGCAAAAUUUAGUGCUGGAGCCCCCAACCCACCCACCUUUCUGAGGGGGCUGGAUGCUGUUUUCCUUCCUGUGUCUUCUGUCAGUGUUCGAGCUCUUGGGAUGCAGGUACAGAUUAAACUUUGAAAGUAAAUGAAACGAUCCUAUGAUUUAAAUAGAAAACGAAAAGGAUUUAGGAAUUUUCCACAGUGACAUUAGUAUUCUAAGAUCAAUUUGCCAGCACAGUGCUCAUAACUUCCCAGGUUUCUGUUUGCUUAUGUGCAAGAAAAAUGUGCUCUGGUAGACUGACUGCAGCGAUUAGUUAAAUUACUCAUACAUCCAUUAUUUAAAAAAACUUCUAUUCUCCUUUGAGCCCAUGUUUGUUUAGUGCCACCUGAUAAUAACUUUCUGCUUGAAUGAUGGCCACUAAUUUUGUUUAUGGCUCUUGAAUGUCAAUCAUGCAUACAUUUGGGAAACUCAGUUCAGGCUGGUAGGUGUGGGUGCGUAUGGGUGCGUGUUUUCAUGACAGCUUAUCAAGAGAAAUGGAAUUGGGAUUUGGUCAGCUUAUGACAUGAGUGAUACAGAUGAUUUGGUAACUGUAUGAGUGAAAAGCGUGUAGAAAAUUAUAUAUAAAAGGGGAAAAAAAGCUCUGCUGGUGGGAAGUGCCAGGAGUACUGGGACAGCGGGGUGUGGGGUUGCUUCGCCUGUUCUUCCUAACACCAGAUGAUGCACAUUAGCAGUCACACACCUCCAUGGCAAUAAUGCUGACCUGUGUUUAAUGCUGAAUUUCUCACAAAAUGUGGCAAUAGCAAACCUCCCUUGAGUCAAUUCUGGCAUGAAGGGACAAAAAGCUUCACUUUUCACUAAGAAUCUGCUUAUUCUCUUCAAGAUGACUGAGUUAUUUUGAGUUUAUUGCUACUAUUUUAAGAAUAUUGAAGGUUUUGAACAAUUUUUUGUGAAAUACUACUUUGAAAAUGGAAAUGCUGUUAUUUUUUGGCAUUUUGUUUGUGGACACAAGUAAGUAAUGUCUGCCCAAUGGGCAUUUUUAGUUCGACCAUUUCUUCCACUAAGUACAGUAUGUCCUCACUGGAAUGAGAGAGGCACAUGAAAACUCAUCAAAUUUGGUUUGAUCAGAAAGAGAAAACAUAGAUAACAUUUGUACAUUACUGACCUGAAAGGCAUUUACCUUUCUUGAUGAUCCAUUUUUCAGGGAACGCAUUUAUUAAAGAUACAGGUUGUGAGUUUGUAACUAUAUAGUUAUUUUUGUUUCUCUCCCACAUGCCUGACAGAGUCUUCAGUUUGAAUGUCUGUUGUCUUCAUGAAUUGUCUUAUUUAUUUAAUUUAAUGUUGCCUACUGGAAGUCCCUAUUAAUAUUAAUGUAAUUAAUAAAAUAUUAUUUUAUAUAUUAAUAAAAAAAUAAAAAGUAAUGUUAAUCAUUAGGUAAAACUGCAUGAUGCCACAUGCCUUUCUCAGGUGUAAGUUUUACAGAAGUUGUCAUUUUAAUACAGUGAUAAAUUCCAUUUAAUGUAAGUCAGGACUUUCACAACAGUGUCUUUAAGUGGUUCAUUUUGUCUUACAAAUGUAAAGGUCUUAUAUUUCAAAUGUAUAAUGAGGCCUUUUUGUUGUGUCUUAGACUUCUCUGGCAUAAAUACGCUGCUUCAUUAGCAACUCCUUGUCAGUGCUUCUGUAAAGAGUGAUUACUUUCCUUUACACGUGUUGUCGCUUCUCCCGUGGCUUAAUUUGGGUUGCUGUGUCAAGGACAUGGGGAGCAUAGGCUGGGAAGAAUUUCACAUACAAUUUUUGACUCGUUCUCUGUAAUCUCACCCCACCGUUUUGCUAGCUCUGAUGUACUGAGCACUUUAAACACUAUGUCAACACAGUAAAGUUUAUACUGCCAAUAAAACCUGUUGGCAAGCUCACUGAGAUAUUCCUAGAUCUUGGAAGGCAAUUAAUGUUUGAAAUACAUAAUAAUCUGUUUAUUGCAACAUUUUACACAUCUACAAAACUAAGUUACCAGUCAGUAGCUGGCUGUAAACUACUGUGCUGCAAGAUAAACCUGAAGUAGUAAAUACUGUAUAUUACACUAUAUGCUCUUUAAAUAGUCUAAUUUUCAAAGGGAUGUUGGAGAGAAAAUGUUUAUUGUUUCCUGUUUAUUCUUCAAAUACAAAUGGUGGAGAUAUAUAGCUUAUUAAAUAGAUCUCUGGCAUAUCAUAAUUAGGUUGAUUUUAGUGAUGGUUGAACUCUAGCUCCAGCUAAAUGAUGUCUGUCAGCACAUAAACACCACUAUCGCUUUAGUUGCAUUUAAUAUCCCAUUUUAUGCUGUAAAUAUUCCUUUCUCCUUGUAUCCUGGUUUUCAAGAUGCUCUGAGCCCUUCAGCUUUGAGGUGAGAUGUUACAUCUCAAAGGUAUGCACUCCAGCGAAUGAGCUUAAGUAUCACUAUCGGUGAGAGAAAGCUGUAAAGAAAUGCCUUUGCAGAUUUCAUAUGUUCUUGAAAUUAAAUUCUACAUUUUAUUAGGGAGUGUGGUGGAUUGGAGGAGUGUUUGCUGUGCCUCUUUGUGUAGAUAGUUUGGAGGGUAACUGAUGCUUAACUACUCGUCUGACAUCUCUGACAGACCCAGGACACACUCUGGUUCCCUUGUAGCAUUGAGUUGCUUCGACUCUUGAACAUCAGUCUCACUUACUUCAGUUUUAAGAGUCAAACUGCUAAAAUGAUUGGGGGGGGCUGUUUAAGGAAUUGCACAGUAAUGAAGUUCUUUGCAAGAUGCAUAAUGAAGAGCUUGCAGGUUUCUAUCAGUAGCUAAGUAGAUCUGUAGUUAUCAACUCUGUGUAAGGUAGAAACUCAGGAAGAGAAAGCUGAUCUCGAGCUAUAAAUGUGUUGGUUGGUAAUGUAGUAUAGAUCACAUGUGCCUCUCUUGCAAAUUAGAGUUAAGGUACACAGAUUAUUACAGACCCAACUGUGAAAGUUGAAACCAUGUGCCCUGGCUCCCUGCUCACUCGUGGCGAGUUUAUACCAGAGUCUAUCCUGGACUUCUGUCAGUGGAAGGAGAGGGAUCAGUGAACACUGAACGAAGGGUCAGCCCUUUUCUUAUUGCAAAGGGCGUUCAUAAACAAUUGGUGCCAUUCAGGGCUGCAACAGCCUAUUGGCAGAAGAAAUCUUCUUUUUUUCUUAAUCUGUAUCAUCGACACUAAAGCAUCCUAUUCUUGAUACUCCUGUCUAGUUAAUGGCGAGUUAGUAACAACUCUCCCUUUCCGAGGAACCUCGGAGAGGCUAACCUAAGGCCGACCUGAAAUUCACUGACCAGAAGGUCCUAUUGUAUGGGGCUGGGCCAGGACACAGAAUAGAAACCAUGAUUUCCCCGUUCUGAUGGGCAGAGGGCAGAAAUCUAAGAACUUUCUUUGACCUUCAGUGAACUCAACUAUGAAAAAGGAGAUAUUGCUGGUCUAUCUAAAAUGGAAAGCCUGGACAUAUCUAAUACAGUAAUUUAUGUUCCCUGGUAAGACUCAGCUAAAAGAAAACCUUUGUCUCUCAAGUGCUGAAGGGUUAAGUAGUCCUUUUUUAAAUCCUUUUUUCUUCCCUUUUUUUUUAGUCAUAUUCACCCUGUAUAUUCAAAGAUGAAGUAGAUAUAUAGCUUUACCUCAUAUCACCACACCCCU